GGUUCCUAUUAAAUAUUUCCCCUCUCACAAAACUAUGUCCCCCGGUUCUUGAUUGCCCUGCUCUGGGUAAAAGACUCUGUGCAUUCACCCUGUCUAUUCCUCUCAUGGUCUUAUAAGAUCCAUAAGAUCACUCCUGAGACUGAUGUACUACAAGGAAUAAAGUCCUAACCUGCUCAGCCUCUCCCUAUAGCUCAGGCCCUCAAGUCCCGGCAACAUCCUCGUAAAUUUUCUCUACACUUUCUAGCUCAACAACAUCCUUCCAAUAGUAGAGAGACCAAAACUGUAUACAAUACUCCAGAUGCUGCCUCA
Long non-coding RNA from Amblyraja radiata (thorny skate), 309 nucleotides. RefSeq lists it as uncharacterized. The record is from RefSeq and is a predicted model, not a curated record. The transcript has 3 exons. NCBI's taxonomy places the organism in Eukaryota, Metazoa, Chordata, Chondrichthyes, Rajiformes, Rajidae.